CAGCCCCUCGAGUGGUGGGGAUGAUUAUUUGGCCUAAAGCGUCCGUAGCCGGCCGAGUAAGUCCCCCGUUAAAUCCAGCGUCUCAAGCGUUGGACUGCGGGAGAUACUACUUGGCUAGAGAGUGGGAGAGGUCAGCGGUAUUCUGGGGGUAGGGGCGAAAUCCUUUGAUCCCCGGAGGACCACCAGUGGCGAAGGCUGCUGACUAGAACACGUCUGACGGUCAGGGACGAAAGCUGGGGUAGCGAACCGGAUUAGAUACCCGUGUAGUCC
This 270-nucleotide ribosomal RNA is filed under the name uncultured archaeon. RNAcentral describes it as "partial 16S ribosomal RNA". It matches the Rfam family "Archaeal small subunit ribosomal RNA", at positions 477 to 747 of the family's 1478-position model. The record is from RNAcentral.